UACUCCUCAGAUACUUACUAGCAGUGUGAUGCUGGGCAAGUCACUUAAACCUCUGUUUGCCUCAUUUUCCUGAACUGUAAUAUGGGGAUGGUAAUAAUAGCACCUACCUAUAAGAAUUGUUGUGGAGAUCAAAUGAGAUAAUAUUUGAAAAAAAUACUUAGCAGUGAGUCUGGCACAUAGUAGGCACUUAAUAAAUGCCUGCUUUCUCUUCCUUCCUUUUUAUACUUGGGUAGAAGGAUGCUUAUAAGGUACGUUGAUUUUUUUGUUAUUUGUCAUUCACUAGGCAACAGUAAAUUAUGAUUUUGAGGUUUUCUUUUGAUUUUUUUCUUCAUUGCAAGUUUUGCUGCGUACAACCUUUUGGGUUUGAAAGUCACUUCCCAAGUUUAACUCAGUUCAGCAAUAUUACUAAACAUCUACAUUACACAAAGCAUCGGGGUGUUUAAGAUUUAUAGUUAUUAUUCUAUCAAUCUGGAUAUUAUAUAUUUUGUAAAUAUAUAUCCAUUUCAUUUAAGUUUCAGGGUUUUUUGGCACUGGUGAUUCAAAGACUAACUAUAAAUAGUCCCUGUUCUCAAGCUUCAAGUAUCUUUCAUUCUGCAAGAGGGAGGGGAUACCAACUAAGUUGAUAAAUAAAUAUAAGAUGAAAUUUAUUAGGAACAAAAGAAAAAUCAAGAAAAAUGCUUUAGAAAUUUUUUAGGAAGGAAGUAACACUGGAGGAUGCAGUGAGGAUUGGGGAAUCCAGAAAAGCUACAUGGAAGACAUAUUGUGGCACCUAACUUAAGCUGGGAAGGAUGACAAGGAUUUAAUCAUGUUUGUGUAUUUUAUAUCCUGGAGGGUAGCCUGUAUAAAUGCACCAAAUAGAGGGUUAGGGGAGGGAGACAAUGAGAAUCAUGUAACCAUGGGAAAAUAUUUUUAAAAGUAAAAUUAUAUUUUAAAAAAUGACCAAUGUGGAAGUAUGCUAUGCAUGAUAACAAAAAUAAAACUGAAAUUAAUAAAUAAAUAAGAUCCCUGACCCUAUAUUUUACUAAGGGAAUAAGACAAUAACAGAUCUUUAUAUUAAUUCCUAAUAUUAUAUGACAAAUACAUUUCAGAUUCUAGGAUCAUAGAUCUCAAGCUUGAUGGGUUCUUCAAUAUCAUCCAGUAGAUGAAGAAAUGUUAAGUGGAACAAAUAGCCUACAAACCCAAAGUUCAAUACCUUCUCCAUCACAUCAUACUCCCAUCCUCCAAAAUGAAAUUCUCUGUAAGGCAAGAAGAUAUGCCUUAUGAUCCAUUUUCUUUCUUCCUAGGAGGAAUUGGGUUCAGAGGUCAUUGAAUCUUGACAGGAGACUCAGAGACAGACCUGAUGGUGGUGGCAAGAUACUAUUUGAUGUCAUACUCAUCUUAUGACUCAAAGUUACUACUAUCAUUAGACCCAUCUCUUGAACAUUCAAGCACAAUAGGCAGCCAAGGACUUCCUUUUAUCCUAAAUAAGCAUAGGCCUGUUUUGUUAGCCCUUCUUCCCCUGGGUUAUGAAUUACCUUGUUUCCUUUUGUACCAGCAGGAAACGUGCAGAUACAUGGAGAAGGGGACCCUAAUGCCUUACCUAUUCCACCAGUCUGUAAUGUUUUUUUCCUGAACAGAUUUUGAGCUGAAAAACAUUCUACUGCUGUGUAAUAGCUCCAGUUACAGCUGAAAAUGUUUGUCAUUUCAUUAUACACACUCCAAAAAGUGUAUAUAAAAGUUGUUUACAAGGGCAAAGCUGCAUUGCUGAAUGCUGGUUUUAAGAGCCACUUCUUCCUCACCAUAUUUUCAUUCUUGGUGCCUACAGCAACAAUUACAUUUUUAUAACUGCUUGCACAGGAACUUAUUAAAGCACUUGGCUGCAGCAUUACUUAGUACCUGCCUCUGCUGGGAUGCUAUAAAUUGUUAUGACUGGAGCACUUGUGCAUAUCUACUGAUGAAAAUACUAUAUUCAAAUAAUUUCAGGGCUAGAAAAAGGAAAUUUAGGAUAAGUCUAAAAUGAUUGGUCUUUUUGAUUCUGAAUCAGGACAGGUAUUCUUGUACCUGUGGUAGAAUGGCUCUCUAUAGCCACAUUCACAUUGCCCUGCUACUCACUACCCAUCUCCUUCAACCCCAUCCUCACCUUACCCCAUCCUAGCAACCUCUCACUGCUCUGGAUACUUCUUUAGAUUUCUUAGACUAGAAAUAUUGAAUUCUUCCUUACCAUCUCAACUGGCUUUGCCCCUGUCUCCUAGCUUACAGAAAUGUCUAUACGUGGCACAACUUUUCCAUGACCUUACUCUUGAAUCAAGCAAGCAAGAAACAAGCAUUUAUUACAAGCCUAUUAUGUGCUAGGCAUUGUGGAUAUAAAGACAAAAGAUGAGACAUGAAAAAUGAAAAAUGAAGGCAGAAACUAUGCCAUUCAUUGUCUUGAAAUCAGAACAUAAGUGGCAAGAAGCAAAUCGCUUGCUGGGCAGAACUUGUCCUCUCUGUGAAUCACAGAUUCUUGCCACAUGUGUUUGCACUGGGAGAAGAUGCCUGAAAUGCACAGCUCUGCCUUCUGCACUUCCUUCUGGAGACAUUUCUACAAACAACCUGGGUCAUUUGUCUCAUCCCAUUCAAACUCCUGAGGGAAAAUGGAUGAUAUCAAAACAGAAAGCAUCUGUAUUCCUCUGAGACCCAAGAUCUAGUGGAAGAUAUUGUGCCACAUUACUCUUUCUCAUUCUAUACUAUACCUACCUGGGAGCAUUUUCUGCCUACAGCUGCCUGCCUAGAGGACUCUGCCCACUGCUGGACUCUCUUGCCUUUGGGUAAUUCCUGUCAACCAGGAUUUUUACCUCUUGUUCUCACUGGAUUUCUAUGGUUCUGACCAUCUAGUAUGGGAUUCCCAUGAAUGUCAAUGAAUGGGCUAAGUCUGCCUCAAGAAGUUCCCAUAAUAGUUAAGGUCUGAUAUUGGUAUAAAAUUAGACACUUAUAGAUGAUUAAAUAAUUUAAAAAAGAGGUUUUACUGAGCCAUAGCAUAUAAGGGAUAUGCAACAAGAAUAUUACUUGCAGCUCAUACAGACCUUUCCUUUAUCCACAUCCACCUUUACUUCUGGUUAACUGGAAGCAUUGGUGACACAGGUAACCCCAGAACACGUCCACAAUGAAAGCCUCCCAGGGUGUUUUUUUUUUUUAAUAACUCUAGGGAACAAGAAAUCACAUCAAUAUGUCCAGAAAACAUUAGGAAGCCCAACUAACAGUUUGGCCCCUUGUGCCAAAAAGUCUCAUAAUCAUCUUCCCUGACUUAGGAAAAGCUCUAGCUUAACAUAAGUAAGGAUGAGGCUAAGACCUACCUACUCUAGUUUUUAUUUUUUUUUUUAAGAUUCCCAUAUACCUAGGAAGCUCUUUUGAGAAAAUUCCAAAUCAAGCAAUGAUACGCCACGUUUCCUAUUCUACAGACAAAUAUUGCAUUGGUCUGUUCUGGGUCAAAUCUAGCCUAUAUUAUACCUAAAAGUACUGCUUGCCAUCAAAAGUUCAAAACACGCAUGAAGAAGAAGGGGCAUGGUGAAGAAAAUCCACAGAAAUGGGUAAAUAUGAGUAAAUAUAGUAGGGGAUAGGAGUGAACAUGAGGAAUAAGGAUAGAUAUGGAGAGGAUUGGCUUUGCUAUUUCAUUAGAUCUGUGAUCUCAUUGAUUUGGGAACUUCCUCUUCUAGCAUAGCCUUUAGUAUAAUAUAAUGUACCGACCUAUUUAUUAUGUAUUAUUUAUUAUAAAAAUUGUCUAAGCGCUUUGCUUGUUUCCCUUUCUUCUCUGAGAUUUCCCAGCCUACCCAUAUAACCUUUCAAAAAUCUUACUGGAAAACCUUUCUCCUUAGGUUGACCCAUGUCAAAAGAUGUGGACUUUAUAUUCACCAAGUAUUAAUGUUUUAAUGGCAGAUGCUUUUAAGGGCUGGGGUCCUGACCUCAUGAAAGCCUUUGUCUGGCCUACUCUGAAUCAGUCAAUUAUAGACAUACCUAAGGAUAAUCAAAUGUGUGAUUACCAUUUCCUUGCCAGCUCUGCAAGUCUUACAGUAUUUCCUUUUGUUUUUCUCUUCCUGAAAUGCUUAGUUAAUUGGGUUGCUGAAAAGUCUCAUUCCAAGUAGUGGAUAAGAAGAAAGGCUAAACACAUAAGUUGCAUUAUGGUUUUAUGGGAAGGACAGACACUAUAGACCCAGAGUCUGUUAUCCAGCUCUCCAUAAAGAAGGAUUUUUUGUUUAUGUAUUUAUUUUUUUGUUUUUGAGACUAAGUCUCCCUAUCUUGACCAAGGAUUACUCAUUGGCUCCAUUCCAUUACUGACUGAUUUUUUACCUUCUUUUGUGAUCUGGGUGGAUUUGCCCUUUCUGAGGAAGUCUUAUGGCUCCCCUCUCUUCCAGGUGGAAGGAGAUCAUUAUACUGAUGGAGACUCAGGUCAACACACAUUUUGCUUAUUCCAUGCAGCUGAGAACUCUUGAAUUCAAGAGAUCUCUCAGCUUCCUAAUAGCAGGGAUUAUAGGUUGGUGCUAUUAUAUCCAGUGAGAGAUUUGCUACUAAAAAAAUAAGAACCAAGAAGACUCACUAACACUAGUGUCUACAACUUACUGCUCCAAGAGAUUUGAAUGAAAAUAAGACACUAUGCUAGCUAUUAGGGCAGGGCUUCUAAAUUAAAUCAUUGUAUAUGUCAGAUCCUUGUGGCAACCUGUGGAAGCUUAUGGAGCCCUUCUCAGAAUAAUGUUUUUAAGUGCAAAAAAUAAAAUAUAUAGGAUUACAAAGGAAAUGAAUUAAUUUGGAAAAGCAGAUAUCAAGAUAUUAUUUUAAAAAUAAGGUCACAGGUCCCCUGAAAUCUAUUCAUGGAUCUGAAGCUAAGAAUGUCUACAUUACAGCCAAUUUGCCCUGCUCCUGAAGGGGAAGAAUCAUAAACAAGUGGCUUCUUUUGGACUCCUUAAUUUUAGAACUAGGCUGCAAACAUAUUUCAUAGAUUUUUUAAUGCUGUAUUUAUAUUUACUGCCAAUGAUGGCAGAACCACUAUUGAUUUUCCCCCUCUCCCAUUAAAAUGCCAACCAGUGGUGUAGAGAACACAUAAUCCAGCAACAGCUGCUGCCACAGAGAGGAAUUCAGGAAAAAGAGACUGAGGUUGAUAUCAACUCUAUAGGAAACAGAGAUCAAACUAACUCUACCUGAGUACACACACUAAUAGCUCAUUUGGGGAUUUAAGGUAGAGAAAUAGCCCAAACUUUCAGGAUAUUUUCCUAAUUAUAAUGUAUUGAUGUUGUUCUGAUUCCAGAUGUGACACAACACACGUGAGGUCCAUCCACCCGGGAGCUUGUGAACUCUGGCAGGAAUACAGAGUGACCUGAGCUCCAAAACAUCCCUUUACAGUGUUUUAUAUUGGGAGCUCUUAUUCUUUGCAAACACACCAAUUAUAUCCGAGAAAUGAAGCUAGUUCAUAUGCUGAACUAGAGCUGAAUUGCAAAAUUUUGAAUCAAAACUUUGAAGGGAAUAAAGUGAGGCUAGACCAAACAUAAUGAACUGGAAGAACAGAAAUGGUGGAGUAGCUCAUUAGUCUUUGAGGAGCAAGAACCUUGGAGAUACUGGAGGAUGAAAUCAGUUUGACACCAGUGGACUUGGAUUUCGGAUGCUGAAAAGAACUUAGAGAUCAUCUGAUCUACCCUGCUCAUUUUUACCAAAGAGGAAACCAAGGUUGAAAGAAGUAAAAUGACUUAUCUAAAGAUGCACAGCUCAUAAUUGUCAGAGACAAAACCAAUACCUCCAAAACCAGUGCUCUUCUUAUUGUACCACACUGCCUUUUUCGGGAAAGCUACUUAGGGGCUGAUAGAUAAAUGGAAUAGAAUUAGACUACAUCUAUGAUUUCAUUAGUA
Molecule: long non-coding RNA, 5849 nt
Organism: Monodelphis domestica (gray short-tailed opossum)
Lineage: Eukaryota; Metazoa; Chordata; Mammalia; Didelphimorphia; Didelphidae
Source: RefSeq, a predicted model, not a curated record